UGGAGGCUCAAAUGCAGCAAUGCGUAGCUGUAGUGUCUCCGUGAUGUACGAACAUAUAUAAAGAGGAUUGGAUCCCCACAAAAUGCGCAUGUCAGUGUUGGUGUUGGAGUUUAACUUGUGACGUAGAGGAGCUCGUUACCAUGGAGCCUGCCGACAGAAGAAGGGGUUCCCCUCUAUGGCAGCACUUUGAGCUGAUCUCUCCCAAUAAGAUCAUUUGACAAGUCUUUUGCUGUCCCCAUGACUCGGGACCCAAAAACGUCGGUGCAGCACUGGACCUGCAGCGUCUGUCUGAAGGCCUGAAACUCCUCCCACGCUGAUCACAGACAUCAGCAGGAUCGAGGACGUCUGAGGACGUUCCCCACCACAUGAAUGGGGGACGGGAGGCACAGCUUCCAGCCCAGCUGAACCAUUUCCAUCCUGGACCACAGCUCUCCUGGCGUUUCUUGUUGUUUCUGGAGGUCUUUUAUUCUAUUUCUGGCAGUAUUUCAUGUCAGAGUGUCGGGUGGAGGUGGAGGAGUCUGUCUGGCUGCCUUUUAAAACCACAGCUCAGCUGCCUGAAGACACUCUGAUAGAGUGGUGGCACCGUCCUGAGAAGCCUGACAAACAGGAGCGGGAUUAUAGAAGAUGAAGAUGAAAGACGAGCGUCUGAAAAGCAGACAGUUCAGCCUGACCUUUAAACGCUCCACAGAGAGAGACAGUGGCAGAUACAGCUGUGUGGCCUGGAGCCACGGACACGUAAUCGGAUGAAGAAUCAUGCUGCUCACAAUUACAGGGAGAGAUCAGCACAUCAGGAACAGAAGCAGCUCCACUGAUCCGACUCCUCUGAUGGCUGAUCGAUCAGUUUGAUCUGUUUGUUCUUUGAUUAUUGAUCAGUGAUGUCAGAGUGGAAUCAGUGUGAUGAUAUGAAUUCUACUGUAAACACCUUUUCCUUCAUUUUCUCCUAGUGAUCACUUUAUGUCUUUACUCUGUAGUCAUGUCCUGUUUAAAGCUUUGUGAGUGUCGGGUGUAAGCAGUGAGCAAUCUGCAUGAGUGGGAGACGUGGACGCUGUUGCAGGAAGGCUGCAUUUUAUUUAUUUAUGUGAGUUUAAUCCAUAAAUUAAUAAAGAGCCA
This is a long non-coding RNA of Pundamilia nyererei, 1110 nucleotides long. RefSeq lists it as uncharacterized. The transcript has 6 exons. NCBI's taxonomy places the organism in Eukaryota, Metazoa, Chordata, Actinopteri, Cichliformes, Cichlidae. The record is from RefSeq and is a predicted model, not a curated record.